This 253-nucleotide ribosomal RNA is filed under the name uncultured bacterium. RNAcentral's name for it is "partial 16S ribosomal RNA". It matches the Rfam family "Bacterial small subunit ribosomal RNA", at positions 524 to 776 of the family's 1533-position model. The record is from RNAcentral.
GACGUAGGGUGCGAGCGUUGUCCGGAUUUAUUGGGCGUAAAGAGCUCGUAGGCGGCUCGUCGCGUCAGCUGUGAAAACCCGCGGCUUAACUGUGGGCUUGCAGCUGAUACGGGCGGGCUAGAGUUCGGUAGGGGAGACUGGAAUUCCUGGUGUAGCGGUGAAAUGCGCAGAUAUCGGGAAGAACACCUAUGGCGAAGGCAGCUCUCUGGGACGGUACUGACGCUGAGACGCGAAAGCGUGGGGAGCGAACAGG